This 73-nucleotide microRNA precursor is filed under the name Myotis davidii. RNAcentral describes it as "mir-9193 microRNA precursor family". It matches the Rfam family "mir-9193 microRNA precursor family". Lineage: Eukaryota; Metazoa; Chordata; Mammalia; Chiroptera; Vespertilionidae. The record is from Rfam by way of RNAcentral.
CUCGAGGUGGGAGGUCCCCUCAGCCAGGUUGCAAGAAAGUGCAGGCCAGGCUGAGGGACCCCAGCAGUGCACG